This 488-nucleotide unclassified non-coding RNA is filed under the name Rhodotorula sp. JSKim-2015. RNAcentral describes it as "partial contains 18S rRNA, ITS1, 5.8S rRNA, and ITS2". The stretch from base 152 to 305 matches the Rfam family "5.8S ribosomal RNA". Lineage: Eukaryota; Fungi; Basidiomycota; Microbotryomycetes; Sporidiobolales; Sporidiobolaceae. The record is from RNAcentral.
GAAGGAUCAUUACUGAUUUGCUUAAUUGCACCACAUGUGUUUUUUAUUGAACAAAUUUCUUUGGUGGCGGGAGCAAUCCUACCGCCAGAGGUUAUAACUAAACCAAACUUUUUAUUUACAGUCAAACUUGAUUUAUUAUUACAAUAGUCAAAACUUUCAACAACGGAUCUCUUGGUUCUCGCAUCGAUGAAGAACGCAGCGAAAUGCGAUACGUAAUAUGAAUUGCAGAUAUUCGUGAAUCAUCGAAUCUUUGAACGCACAUUGCGCCCUUUGGUAUUCCAAAGGGCAUGCCUGUUUGAGCGUCAUUUCUCCCUCAAACCCCCGGGUUUGGUGUUGAGCAAUACGCUAGGUUUGUUUGAAAGAAUUUAACGUGGAAACUUAUUUUAAGCGACUUAGGUUUAUCCAAAAACGCUUAUUUUGCUAGUGGCCACCACAAUUUAUUUCAUAACUUUGACCUCAAAUCAGGUAGGACUACCCGCUGAACUUAA